This 73-nucleotide transfer RNA is filed under the name Clostridium sp. AF12-19. Its description in RNAcentral is "tRNA-OTHER". It matches the Rfam family "tRNA". From Rfam's summary of the family: Transfer RNA (tRNA) molecules are approximately 80 nucleotides in length. Their secondary structure includes four short double-helical elements and three loops (D, anti-codon, and T loops). The record is from RNAcentral. Lineage: Bacteria; Bacillati; Bacillota; Clostridia; Eubacteriales; Clostridiaceae. RNAcentral also lists the same sequence under 1 other name.
UCCGAGAUGGAGCAGAUGGCAGCUCGCCAGGGCAUACCCCUGGAGGUCGCGGGUUCGAGACCUGUUCUCGCUA